AUCUCUCUCUCGAGUCUCGCCUCUCUCUCUCGUCUUCUCUCGCCUCCUCUCUGCUUCUCGUCUCUUGCGCGGCGGCGGUCGGGCGGCAUCCCGGCAGAGGCGACGUAAGCGGCGGUGAGAUGGGAAGCUGCGGGCGGCGGCGGCGCCCUCCCCUCCGCCGGAUCCGGCGGGAGGGGAGGCGGGAGUCAGGAGGCGGGAGGCGGGGGCGACGGGUUGCGGCGGCGCAUUCGGCGGUGACGGCGUGGGAUCCGGCGGCAGCGGUGGUUUCCGCUGUGGAUCCGGCACCAGCGGCCGGCGGCGUGAAGCAGGCGGCGAGCUCCUCCCUCUGAUGGCGCCGCAGCUGCAGGGUUGGGCGCCUCCGCCGCCGAGGUGGACAGCGAGAGGAAGACGAUGGUGCGGGUGCAUCUCGUCGGAUGGGAGGUGGACUGCCUGUUGCAAUUUUCAAGCUCAUCGACGACAUCGUCAUCCCCUACAUCGAGCAGGUUGGUGGAUGUUCCUGGAAAAAAUUGGGACUUAAGAUACAAAGUCUAAUUGCAGACUACAUUUUCCUUUGAAUUUUUUUGGUCGAUUUUUCUGGACCAAAUACUUAUGUUCUGUGAAUUUUCCUUUUUGUCAAUUUUGAUUCUAAAAUAUAGUUGGAUGGUGGAUCUUUCAUGGAUUUAGGGAUUGUGAUGUAAUGAAUUUUUGAUGGAUAUUAUCCGCUCUAC
Molecule: small RNA, 707 nt
Filed under: Oryza sativa Japonica Group (Japanese rice)
Lineage: Eukaryota; Viridiplantae; Streptophyta; Magnoliopsida; Poales; Poaceae
Description: sRNA Os01g0530650
Source: RNAcentral